RNAcentral lists this unclassified non-coding RNA (395 nucleotides) under soil metagenome. Its description in RNAcentral is "partial contains 5.8S ribosomal RNA, internal transcribed spacer 2, and large subunit ribosomal RNA". The stretch from base 1 to 122 matches the Rfam family "5.8S ribosomal RNA", at positions 35 to 154 of the family's 154-position model. The record is from RNAcentral.
GAUGAAGAACGUAGCGAAAUGCGAUACUUGGUGUGAAUUGCAGAAUCCCGUGAACCAUCGAGUCUUUGAACGCAAGUUGCGCCCGAAGCCAUCAGGUUGAGGGCACGUCUGCCUGGGCGUCACAUAUCGUUGCCCAAUGCCUAUUGCAGUGCAAUAGGAAUUUCUAGGGCGAAUGAUGGCUUCCCGUGAGCGUUGUUGCCUCGCGGUUGGUUGAAAAUCGAGUCCUUGGUAGGGUGUGCCAUGGUAGAUGGUGGUCGAGUUAGAACGAUACCGAUCAUGUGCAUGCUCCCCAAAAUAUGGCCUCUAUGACCCACACGCGUCUGUUGACGCUCAUGACGAGACUUCAGGUCAGGCGGGGCUACCCGCUGAAUUUAAGCAUAUCAAUAAGCGGAGGA